Molecule: ribosomal RNA, 485 nt
Filed under: Rhizophagus intraradices
Lineage: Eukaryota; Fungi; Glomeromycota; Glomeromycetes; Glomerales; Glomeraceae
Description: LSU rRNA
Rfam family: Eukaryotic large subunit ribosomal RNA
Source: RNAcentral
AGGUAAAUUUCUCCUAAGGCUAAAUAACGGCGAGAGACCGAUAGCGAACAAGUACCGUGAGGGAAAGAUGAAAAGAACUUUGAAAAGAGAGUUAAACAGUACGUGAAAUUGUUGAAAGGGAAACGAUUGAAGCCAGUCGUACCUUCGGGUAAUCAGCCUUUCGGGUGCGAUUCUGUGGAGUGUGAGGAGCUUAACACCUUCAUGCUUUGCAUAUUUGUGCUCUUGGGUGUACUUGCCCGUGUGGUUGGUUAACAUCAAUUUUGGUUAUCAUAAAAUGAUUGGAGGAAUGUAGCUUCGAUCUCGUAUUGAAGUGUUAUAGCCUUCGGUAGAUGUGAUGAUCGAGAUUGAGGAUUGCAACGGAUACCCUUCGGGGCUACCUGUCUGGUCUCUGAUCGUUGCUCUGGUGCCGAAAGCUUGCUUACGGUUAUCAAAGUCAAUGGUCAAUAGGUUANAACGGGUUAAAUUCGUUAAGGAUGUUGACGUAA